AGUGAACGCUGGCGGUAGGCCUAACACAUGCAAGUCGAACGGCAGCACAGUAAGAGCUUGCUCUUACGGGUGGCGAGUGGCGGACGGGUGAGGAAUACAUCGGAAUCUACUUUUUCGUGGGGGAUAACGUAGGGAAACUUACGCUAAUACCGCAUACGACCUACGGGUGAAAGCAGGGGAUCUUCGUACCUUGCGCGAUUGAAUGAGCCGAUGUCGGAUUAGCUAGUUGGCGGGGUAAAGGCCCACCAAGGCGACGAUCCGUAGCUGGUCUGAGAGGAUGAUCAGCCACACUGGAACUGAGACACGGACCAGACUCCUACGGGAGGCAGCAGUGGGGAAUAUUGGACAAUGGGCGCAAGCCUGAUCCAGCCAUACCGCGUGGGUGAAGAAGGCCUUCGGGUUGUAAAGCCCUUUUGUUGGGAAAGAAAAGCAGCAGGUUAAUACCCCGCUGUUCUGACGGUACCAAAAGAAUAAGCACCGGCUAACUUCGUG
Molecule: ribosomal RNA, 492 nt
Filed under: uncultured bacterium
Lineage: Bacteria
Description: partial 16S ribosomal RNA
Rfam family: Bacterial small subunit ribosomal RNA
Source: RNAcentral